RNAcentral lists this ribosomal RNA (330 nucleotides) under Digramma sp. Dm-1. RNAcentral describes it as "eukaryotic LSU rRNA". It matches the Rfam family "Eukaryotic large subunit ribosomal RNA", at positions 11 to 310 of the family's 3401-position model. RNAcentral also lists the same sequence under 2 other names. The record is from RNAcentral. Lineage: Eukaryota; Metazoa; Platyhelminthes; Cestoda; Diphyllobothriidea; Diphyllobothriidae.
UCAGUCGUGGCGACCCGCUGAACUUAAGCAUAUCACUAAGCGGAGGAAAAGAAACUAACCAGGAUUCCCCUAGUAACGGCGAGUGAAGAGGGAAUAGCCCAGCACCGAAGCCUGCGGUAGUUUUACUGCUAGGCAAUGUGGUGUUUGGGUCGGCUCGCGGGAUUGCCACUCCACUCGAAGUCCAGCACUGAGUAUGGUUCCCUGGAUUUGGCCCAGAGAGGGUGAAAGGCCCGUGCGAGUGGAGGUUCAGACAUGUGAGGCAAUUCACCAGGCCGACCUUCGAGUCGGGUUGUUUGGGAAUGCAGCCCAAAGCGGGUGGUAAACUCCAUC